AAGGAUCAUUACAGAGAAAAUGCCCCUCGGGGUAGAUCUCCCACCCUUUGCUUACAUAUCUCUGUUGCUUUGGCGGGUCCGUCUACUGACCACCGGCCACGGCUGGUCUGCGCCCGCCAGAGGACCCAAAACUCUUAUUUAAUGUCGUCUGAGCUAUUAUAAAAUAAUUUAAAACUUUCAACAACGGAUCUCUUGGUUCUG
RNAcentral lists this unclassified non-coding RNA (201 nucleotides) under uncultured fungus. RNAcentral's name for it is "partial contains 18S rRNA, ITS1, 5.8S rRNA, ITS2 and 28S rRNA". The record is from RNAcentral. Lineage: Eukaryota; Fungi.